UGGUGCGCCCGAUAGGAAUCGAACCCAUAACCUACAGAUCCGAAGUCUGUCGCUCUAUCCAGUUGAGCUACGAGCGC
RNAcentral lists this transfer RNA (77 nucleotides) under Campylobacter jejuni subsp. jejuni 305. RNAcentral describes it as "tRNA-Arg". The record is from RNAcentral. Lineage: Bacteria; Pseudomonadati; Campylobacterota; Epsilonproteobacteria; Campylobacterales; Campylobacteraceae.